This 379-nucleotide ribosomal RNA is filed under the name Bacillus sp. NIOB 871. RNAcentral describes it as "bacterial SSU rRNA". It matches the Rfam family "Bacterial small subunit ribosomal RNA", at positions 978 to 1355 of the family's 1533-position model. The record is from RNAcentral. Lineage: Bacteria; Bacillati; Bacillota; Bacilli; Caryophanales; Bacillaceae.
GUCUUGACAUCCUCUAGCCAACCCUAGAGAUAGGGCGUUCCCCUUCGGGGGACAGAGUGACAGGUGGUGCAUGGUUGUCGUCAGCUCGUGUCGUGAGAUGUUGGGUUAAGUCCCGCAACGAGCGCAACCCUUGAUCUUAGUUGCCAGCAUUAAGUUGGGCACUCUAAGGUGACUGCCGGUGACAAACCGGAGGAAGGUGGGGAUGACGUCAAAUCAUCAUGCCCCUUAUGACCUGGGCUACACACGUGCUACAAUGGAUGGUACAAAGGGCAGCAAAACCGCGAGGUUAAGCGAAUCCCAUAAAACCAUUCUCAGUUCGGAUUGCAGGCUGCAACUCGCCUGCAUGAAGCCGGAAUCGCUAGUAAUCGCGGAUCAGCAU